GUGGUUGUUCUCUUGGGGAGCUGACGACUGCUGCUGCACUGAGGCAAAUUUCAGGCUCUCAGAUAAUGGAGAGGAGCUGUACAUCUGUGUCUAAGGAAGAAGAAGGAAAAAAAAAAAGAAGAAGAAACGUGCUGUGCAUAUAGAGAAGACUAGGCGUGUGUGUAUGGAUGAGUGUGCAGUCUGUGUGCAUUAUGGCUCGAAGCCAAAAAUUCUGGCCAUCAACCUUUUGAAAAUAAU
Spea bombifrons (plains spadefoot toad) is the source of this 237-nucleotide long non-coding RNA. RefSeq lists it as uncharacterized. The record is from RefSeq and is a predicted model, not a curated record. The transcript is spliced from 2 exons. NCBI's taxonomy places the organism in Eukaryota, Metazoa, Chordata, Amphibia, Anura, Pelobatidae.